GGAGAGGUGGCUGAGCUGGUCUAAGGCGCACGACUGGAAAUCGUGUAUGGAGUAGUCCUCCAUCUAGGGUUCAAAUCCCUAUCUCUCCG
RNAcentral lists this transfer RNA (89 nucleotides) under Clostridia bacterium. RNAcentral describes it as "tRNA-Ser". It matches the Rfam family "tRNA". Rfam says of the family: Transfer RNA (tRNA) molecules are approximately 80 nucleotides in length. Their secondary structure includes four short double-helical elements and three loops (D, anti-codon, and T loops). The record is from RNAcentral. Lineage: Bacteria; Bacillati; Bacillota; Clostridia.